CCUACGGGAGGCAGCUGUGAGGAAUAUUGGUCAAUGGACGAGAGUCUGAACCAGCCAAGUAGCGUGAAGGAUGACUGCCCCAUGGGUUGUUAACUUCUUUUAUAUGGGAAUAAAACAGGGUAUGCAUACCCUCUUUUAUGUACCAUAUGAAUAAGGAUCGGCUAACUCCGUGCCAGCAGCCGCGGUAAUACGGAGGAUCCGAGCGUUAUCCGGAUUUAUUGGUUUUAAAGGGAGCGUAGGUGGAUUGUUAAGUCAGUUGUGAAAGUUUGCGGCUAAACCGUAAAAUUGCAGUUGAAACUGGCAGGCUUGAGUACAGUAGAGGUGGGCGGAAUUCGUGGUGUAGCGGUGAAAUGCUUAGAUAUCACGAAGAACUCCGAUUGCGAAGGCAGCUAACUGGACUGCAACUGACACUGAUGCUCGAAAGUGUGGGUAUCAAACAGGAUUAGAUACCCCAGUAGUC
RNAcentral lists this ribosomal RNA (460 nucleotides) under uncultured bacterium. RNAcentral describes it as "partial 16S ribosomal RNA". It matches the Rfam family "Bacterial small subunit ribosomal RNA", at positions 338 to 795 of the family's 1533-position model. The record is from RNAcentral.